This is a long non-coding RNA of Hordeum vulgare subsp. vulgare (domesticated barley), 1563 nucleotides long. RefSeq lists it as uncharacterized. The transcript is spliced from 8 exons. The record is from RefSeq and is a predicted model, not a curated record. NCBI's taxonomy places the organism in Eukaryota, Viridiplantae, Streptophyta, Magnoliopsida, Poales, Poaceae.
CCCAGCCGCUGUCGCGAGCCUCUCCGCCGCCGCCGGUGCCGUCCGCCGUCGCGAGCCGUCGCUAGUGCCCUCCCCAGCCGCCGCCGCCUAUGCUCUCCCAGUCGCCGUCGUCCGUCUGCACACGCAAUGGAGCCGGCGGUGCGCGUGCAGCUGGCAGGGCUCGGUGAGGAUAACCGCCGGGAGGGGCUGUGCAGGCGGCCGUCACCCCAUCCGCUCCGUCCUCUCCUCGGGGCCCAGUUCGAGCUGGCGACAUGGUGGUCCCAGAUUCGCGGCGGAUCUGGCUCGCCCACCUCUUUCCCAAGAGCAAUUGAACAAGAAAAGGAGCAGUGUGGAAAUUGUUAUAGGAAUAAUUAAGAAGUGUUGUGAAUUAUGUAUAAGAAGCAAAGGAGCGUUCCCAGUCCACGUCAUGGUCUUGUACUGCGUGCGUACUUUUCUUCCAGUCAAGUUAUGGCUGAAUGAUUUUGACGAUCGACCAGUCCCGGCAUGGCACAUCAUUUUCUCCAUUAAAGAUAAUGGAUACGAGUAACCAUGAUGAUGGAUAUGAGUCAUGUACUGAUUCUGAAGAAGAGGAGGAGGAGGAGAUGAUGUUUCUUGUCUUCCCAACAUUAUAUUAUGUUGCUCGUGUUACUUAUCCAGAUGCUCUUUUCUAGCCCGAUCAGAUAUGUCUUGUUUCCAAGGAUUACUCUUCUGCCCCGAAGCUUCUUCUGCUUGAACUAUUACCGGGGAUUAAUCUUUCUGAAAUACUUUAUGUCUAGGGAGCCCCUGUCCCCCUUGCAGGGUGCAUAAGAAGUCAAGACGGCCGUCCUAUAUCUUCUGAAUGCCUUAAACUGAAGUGAAGUGAAACUUUUUUUGUUGCUUCGGAUCGCUUCCUCCUUGACACCCCGAUCUGGACGGCGGCAGCAGUGAUGGCGUCGACACUCGAGCGUGCCUACCUCUCCAUCUAUAACUAGCCCAUCUUCUUUGGAAGGGUGUUUGGUUUUCUAUGCCCCUUUGCAAGGCUGAAGUGGAGGAGGCUACCGAAGACGACUUACUUGAGUUCUCAAAAAUCCAAACACCUGACCUGGGCCAGACACUUCAUGUAGAUGCUUUAUCUGAGGUUGACAAUACCACGCAGUCGCUCCUUUCGUUUACUCGCAAUAAGUGCGUUCAUGGCUUAUAUGAUGUCUUAUUGAACUACAAGUAUUUCCUGAAUUCAUUAUCUGCCACGGACGUCCAGGUGCUAUACUCACCGGCGCCAUUUCAAAAUGGCUGCCUCCAUAUUCCGGAGGUAGUUUCGAAAUUAUGACCCAGCUGUAGACGGAUCAACUCCAAACAUGAUUACGCUAUAUAUAUAUAUAUAUAUAGAUGUUCUAUGUAUUAUGCUAUUUAUAUGGAUGUGCUAUGGAUUAAGGAUGUUAUAUAUAUGAUGUAUGGAUUAUGGAUGUGUUAUAUGCUGUAUGGACUAAGGAUGUUAUAUAUAUGAUGUAUGGAUUAAGGAUGUUAUAUAUAUGAUGUAUGGAUUACGGAUGUGUUAUGUACUGUAUGAAUUACGGAUGUUAUAUAUAUGUUGUAUGGAUUAUGUUA